This 477-nucleotide ribosomal RNA is filed under the name uncultured bacterium. RNAcentral's name for it is "bacterial SSU rRNA". It matches the Rfam family "Bacterial small subunit ribosomal RNA", at positions 28 to 523 of the family's 1533-position model. The record is from RNAcentral.
GACGAACGCUGGCGGCGUGCUUAACACAUGCAAGUCGAACGGUAAGGCCUUUCGGGGUACACGAGUGGCGAACGGGUGAGUAACACGUGGGUGAUCUGCCCUGCACUUUGGGAUAAGCCUGGGAAACUGGGUCUAAUACCGAAUAGGACCAUGGACUUCACGGUUUGUGGUGGAAAGCUUUUGCGGUGUGGGAUGGGCCCGCGGCCUAUCAGCUUGUUGGUGGGGUAAUGGCCUACCAAGGCGACGACGGGUAGCCGGCCUGAGAGGGUGACCGGCCACACUGGGACUGAGAUACGGCCCAGACUCCUACGGGAGGCAGCAGUGGGGAAUAUUGCACAAUGGGCGCAAGCCUGAUGCAGCGACGCCGCGUGAGGGAUGACGGCCUCGGGUUGUAAACCUCUUUCAGCACAGACGAAGCGCAAGUGACGGUAUGUGCAGAAGAAGGACCGGCCAACUACGUGCCAGCAGCCGCGGUAA